This 253-nucleotide ribosomal RNA is filed under the name uncultured bacterium. Its description in RNAcentral is "partial 16S ribosomal RNA". It matches the Rfam family "Bacterial small subunit ribosomal RNA", at positions 524 to 776 of the family's 1533-position model. The record is from RNAcentral.
UACAGAGGUCUCAAGCGUUGUUCGGAUUCAUUGGGCGUAAAGGGCGCGUAGGCGGCGGGGUAAGUCGGGUGUGAAAUCUCAGAGCUCAACUCUGAAACUGCACUCGAUACUGCUCUGCUUGAGGACUGGAGAGGAGACUGGAAUUUACGGUGUAGCGGUGAAAUGCGUAGAUAUCAGGAGGAACACCGGUGGCGAAGGCGGAUCUCUGGGCCGUAACUGACGCUGAGGAGCGAAAGCAUGGGGAGCGAACAGG